Molecule: ribosomal RNA, 406 nt
Filed under: uncultured bacterium
Lineage: Bacteria
Description: partial 16S ribosomal RNA
Rfam family: Bacterial small subunit ribosomal RNA
Source: RNAcentral
AUUGAACGCUGGCGGCAGGCCUAACACAUGCAAGUCGAACGAGUGGCGGACGGGUGAGUAAUGUCUAGGAAACUGCCCGAUGGCGGGGGAUAACUACUGGAAACGGUAGCUAAUACCGCAUACCAUCGGAUGUGCCCAGAUGGUAUUAGCUAGUAGGUGGGGUAAUGGCUCACCUAGGCGACGAUCCAUAGCUGGUCUGAGAGGAUGACCAGCCACACUGGAACUGAGACACGGUCCAGACUCCUACGGGAGGCAGCAGUGGGGAAUCUUGCACAAUGGGCGCAAGCCUGAUGCAGCCAUGCCGCGUGUAUGAAGAAGGCCUUCGGGUUGUAAAGUACUUUAAGCGAGGAGGCGUUACUCGCAGAAGAAGCAACGGCUAACUACGUGCCAGCAGCCGCGGUAAUUC